RNAcentral lists this ribosomal RNA (450 nucleotides) under uncultured bacterium. Its description in RNAcentral is "partial 16S ribosomal RNA". It matches the Rfam family "Bacterial small subunit ribosomal RNA", at positions 354 to 796 of the family's 1533-position model. The record is from RNAcentral.
GUGGGGAAUCUUCCGCAAUGGACGAAAGUCUGACGGAGCAACGCCGCGUGAGUGAUGAAGGUCUUCGGAUUGUAAAGCUCUGUUAAUCGGGACGAAAGAGCCUAGUGUGAAUAAUGCUAGGAAGUGACGGUACCGGAAUAGAAAGCCACGGCUAACUACGUGCCAGCAGCCGCGGUAAUACGUAGGUGGCAAGCGUUGUCCGGCAUUAUUGGGCGUAAAGCGCGCGCAGGCGGAUCUGCCAGUCGAUCUUAAAAGUUCGGGGCUUAACCCCGUGAUGGGAUGGAAACUACAGAUCUAGAGUAUCGGAGAGGAAAGUGGAAUUCCUAGUGUAGCGGUGAAAUGCGUAGAUAUUAGGAAGAACACCAGUGGCGAAGGCGACUUUCUGGACGAAAACUGACGCUGAGGCGCGAAAGCCAGGGGAGCGAACGGGAUUAGAUACCCGUGUAGUCC